GGAGCGGUGUCCGAGUGGUUGAAGGAGCACGAUUGGAAAUCGUGUAGGCGGGGUUGACCCGUCUCGGGGGUUCGAAUCCCCCCCGCUCCGCCU
This 93-nucleotide transfer RNA is filed under the name Actinomycetota bacterium. Its description in RNAcentral is "Actinobacteria bacterium (freshwater metagenome) tRNA-Ser". It matches the Rfam family "tRNA". Rfam says of the family: Transfer RNA (tRNA) molecules are approximately 80 nucleotides in length. Their secondary structure includes four short double-helical elements and three loops (D, anti-codon, and T loops). Lineage: Bacteria; Bacillati; Actinomycetota. The record is from RNAcentral.